UACGAAGGGUGCAAACGUUGCUCGGAAUCAUUGGGCGUAAAGCGCACGUAGGCGGCCUGAUAAGUCGGAUGUGAAAUCCCUCGGCUCAACUGGGGAGGGUCAUUCGAUACUGAUCGACUCGAAGGCAGGAGAGGGUAGUGGAAUUCCCGGUGUAGUGGUGAAAUGCGUAGAUAUCGGGAGGAACACCAGUGGCGAAGGCGACUACCUGGCCUGUUCUUGACGCUGAGGCGCGAAAGCUAGGGGAGCAAACGGG
This 253-nucleotide ribosomal RNA is filed under the name uncultured bacterium. Its description in RNAcentral is "partial 16S ribosomal RNA". It matches the Rfam family "Bacterial small subunit ribosomal RNA", at positions 524 to 776 of the family's 1533-position model. The record is from RNAcentral.